RNAcentral lists this long non-coding RNA (560 nucleotides) under Heterocephalus glaber (naked mole-rat). RNAcentral's name for it is "lncRNA (ENSHGLG00000044820.1)". The record is from RNAcentral. Lineage: Eukaryota; Metazoa; Chordata; Mammalia; Rodentia; Bathyergidae.
CUCUGUGGGUGUGGGGACAGCGGCCGGCAGGGUCCCUCCCCUCAGGGACCUGACUCCUGUGGGCACUGUGGGGUGGGCAGCCCCACAGCAGGGUGAAGUUGGCAAAGCCUCUUGUGGAGUAGGGGCUGUGGCUGGAGCCGAGACCUCACCGCACUGCUGUCCCUCUAAGCUGGCCUGCUGGGCUGGGGUGACACUGGCCGCUGCCCCGUCCAGUGAGGAGCGACCUUGAGGAGAGGGGAGGGACCCAGACAUGGAGCUGCGGGAAGAGGCCUGGUCUCUGGGGCCGCUGGACUCCGAGGACCAGCAGAUGGCCAGUCAGGAAAACCCAGGUAGACAGUGACCUUGGAGGCGCCUGGGCGGCGUUGUGGGAAGAUGUUUCCGCGGGAGCGCCUUCUGGCGUCUGCUGGGCCAGUGCACAUGCCCAUCCUGGCUCGGCUGCCUGCUGGCCGUGCAGCCCGGGCCAAGUCGGCUUCCUGGUGUGGCCUUCGCCCUAGAGAGACGGAGCUGCAGCACCUCACGGGGUGUGACACACGACGCUCGCUUGGUCCCGCCCUUGCAAG